Molecule: long non-coding RNA, 696 nt
Organism: Scomber japonicus (chub mackerel)
Lineage: Eukaryota; Metazoa; Chordata; Actinopteri; Scombriformes; Scombridae
Exons: 8
Source: RefSeq, a predicted model, not a curated record
UCGUCGGAGCAGGAUGUCUGUGUCUUCCUGCGGAACGCAUUUAAAGAUGUUAAAGAGAUUUAGUAGUUGUCCAUGGUCAUGUAAUCAUGAAUGUGAACACGUGCUACAUGAGAGUGAAUUUGUAUCUGGGUGAAAACGUGGUUUCACGUUAACAGCUCGUGCUUAACGGGCCUUAAGCAACCACGUGGACUGAAAGAUGGUGGACAAACUAAGUGGUCUUCAGGCUGUCAAGUCACUGCUGAAGUAAAACAAAUGUCAUCAUUGGGUCUUAUGAGAGGUGAAGCUGAGUUUAAGCCAAAGAUGGGCUCUCCAGAGUGAACAGCUGAAAACGUGUGUGAGCUGCCUUCUUUAAAAAGGUGAUCCUGCCAGGAAAAUGCACCUGCUGGAGGUGUGGAGUCUGACAGGGUUGGGCUGGUUACUCAAGAAGACUCAUCAGAAAGAAGCAAUUCAUCUUACGAACUGCAAAUGAGACAAUCCUUGUGUAAUUCUGCCAGUAUAAUCCUGUCCCAGGAGUGUCUAGUGGAUUUUGUCAGAAUUGGAUCCAGCGGCUGCAGUGACUGUCACGCAAGCUUUGUGUGAUGCUGUGGACACUGAAGAUGGAUGUCAGACAGAUGUUUGUGGAUACACAUUUUACUUGUUAAAGCUGAUUUUUAAAUACUAUAUUGCCAGCAAUCUGAAAUUAAUAAAUUAAUAAAA